UGUGAGCGCAAAGAAGAAACUCAGAAGAGGGGAGAGAACUGCACGAUCGGCUGGCUAUCUAGCAGCUGUAAACGCUUUGAGGCAGAGGUUUAAGAGCGAUUUCAGGCUAAAAAUAUACUAUUUUCCUGCUGACACAAUAUAUUUGCCUGCAGUGUAGCGCCGCUGAAUAAAUUGACAAAAACAGCCGUUUUUACAAUAUGGACGACAACGAGGCGAGGCAAAAAACAAGA
Drosophila pseudoobscura is the source of this 230-nucleotide long non-coding RNA. RefSeq lists it as uncharacterized. The record is from RefSeq and is a predicted model, not a curated record. Lineage: Eukaryota; Metazoa; Arthropoda; Insecta; Diptera; Drosophilidae. The transcript has 2 exons.